This 795-nucleotide ribosomal RNA is filed under the name Dicranosepsis sp. 'fake revocans'. Its description in RNAcentral is "eukaryotic LSU rRNA". It matches the Rfam family "Eukaryotic large subunit ribosomal RNA", at positions 157 to 794 of the family's 3401-position model. The record is from RNAcentral. Lineage: Eukaryota; Metazoa; Arthropoda; Insecta; Diptera; Sepsidae.
AAUGUCUAUAUGCUAGUAUGACAUAUUAACGAUUUAAGUCCUUCUUAAAUGAGGCCAUUUACCCAUAGAGGGUGCCAGGCCCGUAUAACGUUAAUGAUUACUAGAAGAUAUUUCCAAAGAGUCGUGUUGCUUGAUAGUGCAGCACUAAGUGGGUGGUAAACUCCAUCUAAAACUAAAUAUAACCAUGAGACCGAUAGCAAACAAGUACCGUGAGGGAAAGUUGAAAAGAACUCUGAAUAGAGAGUUAAAUAGUACGUGAAACUGCUUAGAGGUUAAGCCCGAUGAACCUGAAUAUCCAUUAUGGAAAAUUCAUCAUUAUAAUUGUAAUAUUUUAAAAAUAUUAUGAGAAUAGUGUGCAUUUUUUCCAUAUAAGGACAUUGUAAUCUAUUAACAAAUAAAUAUUUAUCAAAAGAUCAUUUGCUUAAGUUUAUUUGAAUUAACUUGUUUACAGGUUAACAUUGAAUAAAUGCUUAUGAUUUGAUAAAGUGUUGAUAGAUUUAUUAUAUAUAGUGCUUAAAUUAUUUAUAAUUUUACAAUAAUAUUUAAAUCAUGAUUUUUAUAUUUAUUGUAUGCACUUAUAUGAUUAACAAUGCGAAAGAUUCAGGAUACCUUCGGGACCCGUCUUGAAACACGGACCAAGGAGUCUAACAUAUGUGCAAGUAAUUGGGAAUUAAAAACCUAAUUGCGAAAUUAACAUAACUUGUAAAUGGGAUUAAUUUUUAUAGAAAUUUAUUUUUAUAUUAAUUCAAUCCCGGGGCGUUCUAUAUAGUUAUGUAUAAUAAUAUUUAUAUUAUU